GAAAAAAAAUUGAUAACCAAUUCACCAGUAUUGAAGCAGACUGAUAUCUAGUCUUCCAGAAUUAAAUGAUUUCUUGAAAUAGUUUGGCAUUAUGGAAUAAUGAAUGAUGCAAAACCGAUAAAUUUUAGAAUGUGGUUUUCUUUUCCAUGUGGUUUUUAACUGAUGUUUAUUAUAAUCCUAUAAAUGAAUUAUGAUGUUUUGAUCUAGGUUGUAUGUAUUAAGUCAUUUUCUGCAUAGCUUUUCUGGUUUGUUUUGCUGUAUCUUCCAUAUUUGAAUCUGAGACAGAGUUAAUUGGGGCCCUCACUGAACUUAUGGAUGAAUAACGUGUAAUCUUGUAACCAAACUAACUUCAAAAAGCUUGGUCUGAGUAUCUAGUUAUCUAACGGCUGAUUUAAAAAUAAUGGAAAUAGAUCAGAAAUAGUUAUUUUUACUGUGCUGUAAUGACUAUUAAUAAAGCCAACAAAUUUAAGUGAACCACAAAAUGAUCAAUUUAAUGCUAACAUUAAGAGACCACCUGGAACUACCUUUUAUAGUUUUGAAGUAAAAUUUUAAAUCACACGAAGCACUUAAUUUUAUUCUUUUCACUCAGGGAGCUAACAGAAUGAGAGGUCGGCUUGGAAGUGUGGACAGUUUUGAACGGUCCAACAGUCUUGCUUCAGAGAAGGACUACUCACCAGGGGAUUCUCCACCAGGGACACCGCCAGCGUCCCCACCGUCCUCAGCUUGGCAAACGUUUCCCGAAGAGGAUUCCGACUCCCCGCAGUUUCGAAGACGGGCACACACGUUCAGCCACCCACCUUCAAGCACAAAGAGAAAGCUGAAUUUGCAGGAUGGGAGGGCUCAGGGUGUGCGUUCCCCUCUGCUGAGGCAGAGCUCCAGUGAACAGUGCAGGUGAGUCUGACCCUCUCCAGAAUGAGACCUAGAUUCUCAAGGCACACAGUUUUGAUUACUCUGGAGUCAAGGUGGAUUGUGAAUUUAUGCUGUAGCCAACUUUUAGUUUUGAGAAACACCAUAAAAACAAAUUAAGUUACCUCAUUUACUAGGCGAAACAGGCAAGGUUAAGGCAUACACAAAAAGAAGAGUUAAUUCGUUUGGGUGGAAACUCUUUUGUUUUUCCUUUCAGAAAAAUAGAAAAAACAAGAUAACCAUGCAGUUGUUUUGUCUGAAAACCUGCUGAUAACACGUUACGCAGUGUCUUGAUGAUGAUUCUAGAGAAACAAAGUCAGCAGAUUUGAAAAUAACAUAGCAUUAGAACUUCCUGUUAGCUUAUGAUAAAAUACCAGGGUUUUAAAAGUCACCUAAGUUACUUUCAUACAUGAGAUAAUAUUUGGCUAUAUUUUGUUACAUAAUAAAUUAAAGCUGAAUAUGAAAAUUGUUAUAAAUUGUAUCUAGAAUAAGGUGAUAUGUAUAAAGAAGAGUAUAUAUACCAUAAUUGACAGGCAGUGUCCACUUAGAAAAGAUCUUACACAGUAUUUAAAACAUAAUUUAACAAAAAGUUGCUUGAUAUUUGGUGAGAAACAGUAAAGAGGAUAAACUUGGAAUGAUUUUCUUCUUUCUGUGUAACACAGAUCAAAUUUAUAUCUUAGAACUCAUUUUGUUUCUCUUCUUUACCUAUGAAUUUGUUACGGAAAAUAGGGUUAAGUAAAGAUGCUCGUUGGAGAG
RNAcentral lists this long non-coding RNA (1662 nucleotides) under Homo sapiens (human). RNAcentral describes it as "HSALNT0203775". Lineage: Eukaryota; Metazoa; Chordata; Mammalia; Primates; Hominidae. The record is from RNAcentral.